RNAcentral lists this ribosomal RNA (204 nucleotides) under uncultured Bacteroidota bacterium. RNAcentral describes it as "uncultured Bacteroidetes bacterium partial 16S ribosomal RNA". It matches the Rfam family "Bacterial small subunit ribosomal RNA", at positions 100 to 306 of the family's 1533-position model. The record is from RNAcentral. Lineage: Bacteria; Pseudomonadati; Bacteroidota.
GCACGGGUGAGUACGCGUAUGUAACCUACCUAUAACAGGGGCAUAACACUGAGAAAUUGGUACUAAUUCCCCAUAAUAUUCGGAGAGGCAUCUCUCCGGGUUGAAAACUCCGGUGGUUAUAGAUGGACAUGCGUUGUAUUAGCUAGUUGGUGAGGUAACGGCUCACCAAGGCAACGAUACAUAGGGGGACUGAGAGGUUAACCC